GACGAACGCUGGCGGCGUGCCUAAUACAUGCAAGUCGAACGCAGUGGGGACGGGUGAGUAACACGUGGGUAACCUCCCAUCAGAGGGGAUAACACUUGGAAACAGGUGCUAAACCGAUACUGAUGGAUGGACCCGCGGUGCAUUAGCUAGUUGGUGAGGUAACUGCUCACCAAGGCCACGAUGCAUAAACGGCCGGAGAGGGGGAACGGCCACACUGUGACUGAGACACGGCCCAGAAUCCUACGGGAGGCAGCAGUGGGGAAUCUUGGGCAAUGGACGAAAGUCUGACCGAGAUACGCCGCUUGAGUGAAGAAGGUUUUCGGAUAGUAAAACUCUUUUGUUAGAGAAGCGGUAUCUAACCAGAAAGCCACGGCUAACUACGUGCCAGCCGCCGCGGUAAUAC
RNAcentral lists this ribosomal RNA (403 nucleotides) under uncultured bacterium. RNAcentral describes it as "partial 16S ribosomal RNA". It matches the Rfam family "Bacterial small subunit ribosomal RNA", at positions 28 to 526 of the family's 1533-position model. The record is from RNAcentral.